This 56-nucleotide ribosomal RNA is filed under the name Hypoxylon aeruginosum. RNAcentral's name for it is "partial 18S ribosomal RNA". It matches the Rfam family "Eukaryotic small subunit ribosomal RNA", at positions 1776 to 1831 of the family's 1831-position model. The record is from RNAcentral. Lineage: Eukaryota; Fungi; Ascomycota; Sordariomycetes; Xylariales; Hypoxylaceae.
GAGGAAGUAAAAGUCGUAACAAGGUCUCCGUUGGUGAACCAGCGGAGGGAUCAUUG